Long non-coding RNA from Petromyzon marinus (sea lamprey), 1608 nucleotides. RefSeq lists it as uncharacterized. The record is from RefSeq and is a predicted model, not a curated record. NCBI's taxonomy places the organism in Eukaryota, Metazoa, Chordata, Hyperoartia, Petromyzontiformes, Petromyzontidae.
CCACCUGAAUGUCACAUUGUAGUUGCGGCUCUGCGUCGACAUUCAGGCGUUCGAAAGAAAAAGGGGAUUCAAAAGCUAACAUUAAAAUUGACCAUAGACUAGACAGACUGUAUUAUCUCGGCGAGCACUGCACGCACCACUAUGAUUUAUCUCUUAUAAUCAUCAUGAUCAUCAUCAGCCACAGUCAAACCACUGCUGGAUGAAGUCCUACCCAACCCGGCAUCAUCUCUCACUAACCCGCGGUGUAACGAUCCACCGAGCAUCUGUGCGACGAGAUGAUUUCACGGUUCCAUCUCCUCAAUGGAUACCCUUUAAUCUCUUUUAGAAUUAAACAUGUUAAUUUCACGGCUAAUUUCCAAAGGUAUACAUUGUGUAGCCAUGCAUAUUGCGGGCAACCCACUUGCAGACUAUUAUCCCGAUCCCACAGUGUGUCGAGGGACAGCGUUUGUUGUGGUUGUUGCAAGCAAAGUCAACCGCGAACAGAUACACCUCUGAGAUUGAUAAUCAUUUCCUGCUGGUUGAGAUUUUUUUUUUGUAAAAAAAAAAAAGCGUGGACAAAAAAGAGAAACGCCCUCCAUCGCUUCUGAUUUAAGCGGAGCCUCGCGGCGUCCGAAGACACCCCGAUAUUGAGAGCGCAGCGCAAACCGCGCGUAGUGGCGAGAAUUCCUGCUUCGGGAAAAUGCGACGGAAAGUUCGCCUGAGAGUGUCUCCGAAUGCCGCGUCACGCUUUGUCCAUCCCAGGACGGCUUUGUGCAACGAACAGAGGAAGGGUGGUUCGAGGUGUUAGCUGCGAUUGUUAGCAGUCACCCAUAACGCAAUAAUACAUUGCACACCUCGCAUUUUUGAUGGCUCUAGAAUGACCCAUUUACUGGGUGUGCAGAUUUAAAUUUUUACUUGCGGUCUUGGCAAAAUUAAGAUUAUCCACUUCAUGAAUUCACAUUAUCGUCAUUAUAACUGCAUUAGGACUGUCCUGGCUGAGCGGCGUUGCUCUGUAGCUGCACGAGCAGCCAUCUGGAACUCUCUUCCAGCAUCCAAGCACCAUCAUCCACCUUCAAGCAAGAGUUUAAGGCUCUCACCUGUUCAGGCUCUCACCCGUGCAAGGAAUUGUUUAGUGCACAUAUUGUUCGUCACCGAUACAGAGAAGUCAUACUUCAAUGCCCUUUGUCUACGGCCAGGGUGAAGACACCUCUGCACGGUGCGCUGUAUAUAACGACAACAAAAGCCAUGUCCUGAAUUGCCGGUGUCUCCGUGGCAUUGACAAAUGGUGAUGAGCGCAAGAUAGCAGCAGGAAGGCCAAGUACACUUUUACACAAUGGUAGGCUAUUUUUUAUAUUUUUUUGCAGAAUGCAACGCGUCCAUUGCACGACUCAUUCACGCAUCACGGCAGUGGCGUGCGUGCGUUCGGAAUGUAUUUUUUUUGUUGCAUCUAAAGGCACGUUCAUACGAGCUCUUAAAAUGUCGCGACGAAAUAACAACACGGAGCUGACACGUCUUCGCCGCGGUUUAAAUCAUACGUACUGGCGAAUUUUGGAUCCAAGUGAACAACGAUGACGUUAUACUCUUUGGUUUUAUUCCGGUAAAGUCACGAAGGUAAAAUAAAAUAAAACG